Long non-coding RNA from Epinephelus fuscoguttatus (brown-marbled grouper), 1526 nucleotides. RefSeq lists it as uncharacterized. The transcript has 3 exons. The record is from RefSeq and is a predicted model, not a curated record. Lineage: Eukaryota; Metazoa; Chordata; Actinopteri; Perciformes; Serranidae.
GAGACUACAUUUCCCAUCAUUCACCAGAGAUCAAGCCCACAUUUUUCUUCCUCUCGUUGACUGCUGCACAUUUUCAAGACAUCGCUUUCCUCCACAUUAAGUUUCUCCUGAGCUGCCAUCUGAGGAGGGGAGCCCACAGCGGCCUUCUCCCCUGGGAUACCAUGAGAAUACCGUCUCCAAAAAUAGAGGUCCCCUCCUCUCCCUUCAGCUCUUCUGCAGUCAGCUCACCUCUCCUCUCUGAAGAAAAACUGGAAACAAUGAAUGCAUUCGACAAAACCCUGUGAGCCAAAUCGAGACCAGACAUGUAAGAAACAGUAUCUCGAGUGUUGUGAUUCAGCUUAUGAAGAGUUUCCAGAGGCUGUGAGGACAGUAGAUACAGAACAACACAUGAGCAUGUGUACUCGGCCGACUGUCGGCUAUUCCUGUGUGUUCUUUCAUGUGUAGAUGAAAGCUAAUUCUGCUGAGACUGUUUAACAUGUUUGAUUUUUGAAAUUAGUUUUCUAACAGACCUAUAUAUCCCUGGAGAAAUGUUAUCCAUACAGAAGUGUGGAAAGAUAUAAGAGGCUUCACACCUGCCUUUGGCUUCUGAUAGCAACCCAGUUGCCAGAAUAAAUGUUUGCAUUGUAUAUUUCUGCAGAUUUGUUACACCUGUACUUUAAUAUGUAGUAGACACGUUGAAACUUCAUAUUUUAACAACGGUUAGGUUUAGGCACAAAACCCACAUGGUUAUGGUUACAAAGGAUCAUGUUUUGGCUUUAAAUACACAUUUUUCUGUGGCACUAUCCCAGCUGGAAACGCAUUAAUGUCUCCGUAAGAAACAACAAUUUUUCAUGGCAUUAUUUCGGCUGGAAACACAGUGAUGUCUCGGUAAAAAUUAGCCUCCUUCGGUGGCACUAUCCCCAAUGGAAACACAGCAAUGUCUUGGUAGAAACCAGCCACUUUCUAUGGCACUAUCCCUACUGGAAACACAGUGAUGUCUCAGUAAAAAUGGCUGCUCACUGUGGCAUUAUCCUGGCUGGAAACUCAGUGAUGUUUUGGUAAAAAUCAACUACUUUUCCCUGGCACCAUUUUGGCUGGAAACAUAAUGAUGUUUCAGUAAAAGCAAAUGCUUUCUGUGUGAUUAUCCCAGCUUGAAAAGCAGUGAUGUCUUGGUAAAAAGCAACCACUUUCUGUGGCACUAUCUCUGCUGGAAACUCAGUGAUGUCUCUGUAAAAAAUUAACCUCUUUCCAUGGCACUAUCCCCACUGGAAACGCAAUGAUGUCUCAGUAAAAACAGCUGCUUUCCAUGGCAUUAUCCUGGCUGGAAAUACAAUGAUGUCUCGGUAAAAGCAAUCACUUUCUGUGUCAUUAUCCCAGCUGGAAAAGCGAUGUCUGUAAAAAAAAAAAAACAUCAGCUUUCCGUGGCACUAUCCCUGUGGAAACAAAGCAAUUUGAUGAUGAAGUUCUGUUUUGUCAGGUUGACUGUUUAGAUGUUUUGCUCAUCUAUUCUUCAACUCAGUAAUGUGUAAACACAUGAGAUUAAACGA